UACGUAGGGACCGAGCGUUGUCCGGAUUUAUUGGGCGUAAAGAGCUCGUAGGCGGCCGUCCACGUCGGAUGUGAAAGCUCGGGGCUCAACCCUGAGAGGUCAUUCGAUACGGGACGGCUUGAGGCAGCUAGGGGAGAUUGGAAUUCCUGGUGUAGCGGUGAAAUGCGCAGAUAUCAGGAGGAACACCGGUGGCGAAGGCGGAUCUCUGGGGCUGUUCUGACGCUGAGGAGCGAAAGCUGGGGGAGCGAACAGGAUUAGAAACCCCCGUAGUCC
This 273-nucleotide ribosomal RNA is filed under the name uncultured bacterium. RNAcentral describes it as "partial 16S ribosomal RNA". It matches the Rfam family "Bacterial small subunit ribosomal RNA", at positions 524 to 796 of the family's 1533-position model. The record is from RNAcentral.